UACAUGGGGUGCAAACGUUGCUCGGAAUUAUUGGGCGUAAAGCGCACGUAGGCGGUUUGUUAAGUCGGAUGUGAAAUCCCUCGGCUCAACUGAGGAAGUGCAUCCGAAACUGGCAAGCUUGAGUACGAAAGAGGGUCGCGGAGUUCCCGGUGUAGAGGUGAAAUUCGUAGAUAUCGGGAGGAACACCGGUGGCGAAGGCGGCGACCUGGGUCGAUACUGACGCUGAGGUGCGAAAGCGUGGGGAGCAAACAGG
This 253-nucleotide ribosomal RNA is filed under the name uncultured bacterium. RNAcentral describes it as "partial 16S ribosomal RNA". It matches the Rfam family "Bacterial small subunit ribosomal RNA", at positions 524 to 776 of the family's 1533-position model. The record is from RNAcentral.